AUGCACGCUGGCGGCGUGCCUAAUACAUGCAAGUCGAGCGAACAGACGAGGAGCUUGCUCCUCUGACGUUAGCGGCGGACGGGUGAGUAACACGUGGAUAACCUACCUAUAAGACUGGGAUAACUUCGGGAAACCGGAGCUAAUACCGGAUAAUAUAUUGAACCGCAUGGUUCAAUAGUGAAAGACGGUUUUGCUGUCACUUAUAGAUGGAUCCGCGCCGCAUUAGCUAGUUGGUAAGGUAACGGCUUACCAAGGCGACGAUGCGUAGCCGACCUGAGAGGGUGAUCGGCCACACUGGAACUGGGACACGGUCCAGACUCCUACGGGAGGCAGCAGUAGGGAAUCUUCCGCAAUGGGCGAAAGCCUGACGGAGCAACGCCGCGUGAGUGAUGAAGGUCUUCGGAUCGUAAAACUCUGUUAUUAGGGAAGAACAAAUGUGUAAGUAACUAUGCACGUCUUGACGGUACCUAAUCAGAAAGCCACGGCUAACUACGUG
This 496-nucleotide ribosomal RNA is filed under the name uncultured bacterium. Its description in RNAcentral is "partial 16S ribosomal RNA". It matches the Rfam family "Bacterial small subunit ribosomal RNA", at positions 29 to 507 of the family's 1533-position model. The record is from RNAcentral.